UGCAAUCGAUGAGAGGGAGAGAAAAAAAAAUGGAAGCUUCUGUUCUCCCUGCAAAACAGAGCACGCUGUUUUGUAUAAAAUGGAAAAGCCUCACAAAUAAAAUCUUUGGAUAAAAUAAUAAUUGAUGUGCCGACAAAAAAGACAAUACCCUCAAAUCAAAACCUAAACUGAGAUCAUACGACAGAAAAACGAAAAUUUCGCAAUGAUCGGAGGAUAAAUAAGAUCAGCAAAGGACCCCCAAAAAAAACUCCAACUCAGGCGAUGCCAAAACUAAAAGCAAAGGAAAAGUUGAUAAAAAAGAAAAUGGAAGUCAAAAGAAGAGGGCGGAGAAAGACCCUUUCAGCAGUUCCAUAACAUUUCUUUCUCCUUUCCCCACUCUUUCUAUUUAUUUCUCCAUAGAAACAAUUAUGUCUCAAUCGAAAAAGCCAGCAGAGAAAUGGACAAAAACCAAAAACGACCUCGUCAGUGGCAAGACGAGUGGUAGAAACUGUCAACCUUUUUGUUUUGGAAAAGAGAAACGGUUUGCGUGUAAGAAGGUUGGUGUUCUUGUUGGAGCAGAAAAUGGCUGCUGUGAACUAUUGAGGAGUGAAAAAUAAAGGGGAUUGGGGCUUUUUCGCAAAUCAAUUUGAGGUGAAGGAAGAGUAUUUGAGCCUUCCAAGGGGGAAAUGUAACGUAAAAACUUGCAUACAUCUGUC
RNAcentral lists this long non-coding RNA (695 nucleotides) under Nicotiana benthamiana. Its description in RNAcentral is "long non-coding RNA (NBEN_LNC013223)". The record is from RNAcentral. Lineage: Eukaryota; Viridiplantae; Streptophyta; Magnoliopsida; Solanales; Solanaceae.